CGGGAGUGGAUCGAGUUGCCACCAACCACCAGGUCGCAGCUGGCAAGCUACAACUGGCAAAGCAGAUACAAAGGUUGUAUCUAAUAAUGAUACAAAUAAGGUUCAACCUAUAAAAUUUGGCUAGCCAUAAUAAGUAUGAUUAUAAGAACAUACUUUGAUUGUAUGCAGCAUCAACAAGAUAAGAUUAUUUACAAAAUAAGAUAAUACCAGGGACACAAAAAGGUCAUUCCUAGAUGUUCCGGACAAUCUAAUAGUUGGAAAAAACAAAGUGAGAACCAUACUACAAUAUAAACUGGUUACCUUUUUUCUUAGCAAAAAACAGACAUGACAUUAGAAACCAAACUAGACGUAUCUAUUUCUAUGUAGUGAUCAUGGGAGAGGUCCAGCUCAGAAGCAACUCCACAUCCAGUUGAUGAGCAACCUGGUCCUGCAUGUACACGGAACAAAAAAUUGUUUAUUUCCUUCAGAUAUGCACCGCAAGUAGCAACCGAAACACUAUUGAACUGCAAGGAACACAAGAUAAUAUCUACAAAACCUUUUCAGAAAUAAGUGACCAAGUAAAAAAAGGAAAAACAAGUGAAUGAGGUAAGUAAGAAAUCCCAACUGAGGAAGAGAAGGAGAGGCUUGCUUGAGGGAUGUGCCUGGGCCUCCAAGAACCAGUAGAAGAGUGUCCUCCCAUUCUGCUUGUUCACGGUGACAUACCCAGAGAACCGAGAGACAUGCAAACUCCUUGGCUGACCAGAGAGAAAUACCACCCUAUCAGCUUCCUACUCGCUGUAACCGGCCAAGUAGCAGCGCCAACCCUGGCAGGCAAAGACGACGCGUGACUGGACACACACGUCACUAAGCCAACAAGCACAUACACAACAAGAACCCGUGGCAAGCAAGUGCGGGGACAGGAGGAGAGUUGGGACCGGAAAGAAAUUACCAUGCUGGCGACUGGAUUUCCAGGCGAAAGCUACUCGAGGCGGCGACGGCAAAUCCAGGUAGCAGCUGCACGAGCACAUGAGAAUCACAAGAUGAAUUUCAUACGUUGGCAGUGGAAGCAAAUAUCAUAUUUGUACGUACCUGCAUUUCUUUAUCAACACUACACAUCUCCAGAUUUUUUCCA
This 1111-nucleotide long non-coding RNA is filed under the name Triticum aestivum (bread wheat). RNAcentral's name for it is "long non-coding RNA (TAES_LNC002809)". The record is from RNAcentral. Lineage: Eukaryota; Viridiplantae; Streptophyta; Magnoliopsida; Poales; Poaceae.